RNAcentral lists this ribosomal RNA (468 nucleotides) under uncultured bacterium. RNAcentral describes it as "partial 16S ribosomal RNA". It matches the Rfam family "Bacterial small subunit ribosomal RNA", at positions 28 to 507 of the family's 1533-position model. The record is from RNAcentral.
GACGAACGCUGGCGGCGGGCUUAACACAUGCAAGUCGAACGGAAAGGCCCUGCUUUUGUGGGGUGCUCGAGUGGCGAACGGGGGAGUAACACGUGAGUAACCUGCCCUUGACUUUGGGAUAACUUCAGGAAACUGGGGCUAAUACCGGAUAGGAGCUCCUGCUGCGUGGUGGGGGUUGGAAAGUUUCGGCGGUUGGGGAUGGACUCGCGGCUUAUCAGCUUGUUGGUGGGGUAGUGGCUUACCAAGGCUUAGACGGGUAGCCGGCACGGGAGGGUGAACGGCCACAUUGGUACUAAGGGAGGGACCAGUGUCGAAUGGGGGGCAGUAGGGGGAAGCCUGGUCCAGUGGGCGGGAGUCGGAGGCAGCAGCCUCGGGGUCGGAAUGCCGGCUUGCGGGUUGAGAACCGCUUUAGCUUGAGACGAAGCGGGAGUGACGGUAAUGGAUAAAGAAGCACCGGCUAACUACGUG